GAUGAACUCUGGCGGCAUGCCUAAUACAUGCAAGUCGAACGAGAGGAAGGAAAGCUUGCUUUCCUAAAUCUAGUGGCGAACGGGUGAGUAACACGUAGGUAACCUGCCCAUGUGCCCGGGAUAACUUCUGGAAACGGAUGCUAAAACCGGAUAGGUAGCAGACAAGCAUUUGACUGCUAUUAAAGUGGCUAAGGCCAUGAACAUGGAUGGACCUGCGGUGCAUUAGCUAGUUGGUGAGGUAACGGCCCACCAAGGCGACGAUGCAUAGCCGGCCUGAGAGGGCGGACGGCCACAUUGGGACUGAGACACGGCCCAAACUCCUACGGGAGGCAGCAGUAGGGAAUUUUCGUCAAUGGGGGGAACCCUGAACGAGCAAUGCCGCGUGAGUGAGGAAGGUCUUCGGAUCGUAAAGCUCUGUUGUAAGAGAAAAACGGCACUCAUAGGGAAUGAUGAGUGAGUGAUGGUAUCUUACCAGAAAGUCACGGCUAACUACGUGCCAGCAGCCGCGGUAAUACGUAGGUGGCGAGCGUUAUCCGGAAUGAUUGGGCGUAAAGGGUGCGUAGGUGGCAGAUCAAGUCUGGAGUAAAAGGUAUGGGCUCAACCCGUACUUGCUCGGGAAACUGAUCAGCUAGAGAACAGAAGAGGACGGCGGAACUCCAUGUGUAGCGGUAAAAUGCGUAGAUAUAUGGAAGAACACCGGUGGCGAAGGCGGCCGUCUGGUCUGGAUUCUGACACUGAAGCACGAAAGCGUGGGGAGCAAAUAGGAUUAGAUACCCUAGUAGUCCACGCCG
RNAcentral lists this ribosomal RNA (791 nucleotides) under uncultured bacterium. RNAcentral describes it as "bacterial SSU rRNA". It matches the Rfam family "Bacterial small subunit ribosomal RNA", at positions 28 to 802 of the family's 1533-position model. The record is from RNAcentral.